Molecule: ribosomal RNA, 425 nt
Filed under: uncultured bacterium
Lineage: Bacteria
Description: bacterial SSU rRNA
Rfam family: Bacterial small subunit ribosomal RNA
Source: RNAcentral
ACUCCUACGGGAGGCAGCAGUGGGGAAUAUUGCACAAUGGGCGGAAGCCUGAUGCAGCGACGCCGCGUGAGGGAUGACGGCCUUCGGGUUGUAAACCUCUUUCAGCUCUGACGAAGCUUUUGUACGGUAGGAGCAGAAGAAGCACCGGCUAACUACGUGCCAGCAGCCGCGGUAAUACGUAGGGUGCGAGCGUUGUCCGGAAUUAUUGGGCGUAAAGAGCUUGUAGGCGGUUUGUCGCGUCUGCUGUGAAAGCCCGGGGCUUAACUCCGGGUCUGCAGUGGGUACGGGCAGGCUAGAGUGUGGUAGGGGAGACUGGAAUUCCUGGUGUAGCGGUGGAAUGCGCAGAUAUCAGGAGGAACACCGAUGGCGAAGGCAGGUCUCUGGGCCAUUACUGACGCUGAGGUGCGAAAGUGUGGGGAGCAAAC